GGAAUAUUGCGCAAUGGAGGAAACUCUGACGCAGUGACGCCGCGUAUAGGAAGAAGGUUUUCGGAUUGUAAACUAUUGUCAUUAGGGAAGAUACAAGACAGUACCUAAGGAGGAAGCCCCGGCUAACUAUGUGCCAGCAGCCGCGGUAAUACAUAGGGGGCAAGCGUUAUCCGGAAUGAUUGGGUGUAAAGGGUGCGUAGACGGAGGAGCAAGUUGGCUGUGAAAUCCCUCGGCUUAACUGAGGAACUGCAACCAAAACUACUUCCCUUGAGUGUCGGAGGGGAAAGUGGAAUUCCUAGUGUAGCGGUGAAAUGCGUAGAUAUUAGGAGGAACACCGGUGGCGAAGGCGACUUUCUGGACGAUAACUGACGUUGAGGCACGAAAGUGUGGGGAGCAAACA
RNAcentral lists this ribosomal RNA (400 nucleotides) under uncultured bacterium. RNAcentral's name for it is "bacterial SSU rRNA". It matches the Rfam family "Bacterial small subunit ribosomal RNA", at positions 358 to 774 of the family's 1533-position model. The record is from RNAcentral.